GACCGGGAUGGACAUACCUCUGGUGUACCAGUUGUUCUGCCAAGAGCACCGCUGGGUAGCUACGUAUGGAUUAGAUAAUCGCUGAAAGCAUCUAAGUGAGAAACUAACCUCGAGAUGAGAUUUCCCAUUCGUCAGAAGUAAGACCCCUGAGAGACGAUCAGGUAGAUAGGCUAGAAGUGGAAGUGUAGUGAUGCAUGGAGCGGACUAGUACUAAUAGGUCGAGGACUUAACCAAG
Molecule: ribosomal RNA, 235 nt
Filed under: Oenococcus oeni
Lineage: Bacteria; Bacillati; Bacillota; Bacilli; Lactobacillales; Lactobacillaceae
Description: partial 23S ribosomal RNA
Rfam family: Bacterial large subunit ribosomal RNA
Source: RNAcentral